CGAAAGAAAGAUUAAUACCCGAUGGCAUAAUAUUUCCGCAUGGGAUUAUUAUUAAAGAAUUUCGGUAAAAGAUGGGGAUGCGUUCCAUUAGGCAGUUGGCGGGGUAACGGCCCACCAAACCUUCGAUGGAUAGGGGUUCUGAGAGGAAGGUCCCCCACAUUGGAACUGAGACACGGUCCAAACUCCUACGGGAGGCAGCAGUGAGGAAUAUUGGUCAAUGGGCGAGAGCCUGAACCAGCCAAGUAGCGUGAAGGAUGACUGCCCUAUGGGUUGUAAACUUCUUUUAUAGGGGAAUAAAGUGAGCCACGUGUGGCUUUUUGUAUGUACCCUAUGAAUAAGGAUCGGCUAACUCCGUGCCAGCAGCCGCGGUAAUACGGAGGAUCCGAGCGUUAUCCGGAUUUAUUGGGUUUAAAGGGAGCGUAGGUGGACAUGUAAGUCAGUUGUGAAAGUUUGCGGCUCAACCGUAAAAUUGCAGUUGAUACUGUGUGUCUUGAGUACAGUAGAGGUGGGCGGAAUUCGUGGUGUAGCGGUGAAAUGCUUAGAUAUCACGAAGAACUCCGA
Molecule: ribosomal RNA, 561 nt
Filed under: uncultured bacterium
Lineage: Bacteria
Description: bacterial SSU rRNA
Rfam family: Bacterial small subunit ribosomal RNA
Source: RNAcentral